Molecule: ribosomal RNA, 440 nt
Filed under: uncultured bacterium
Lineage: Bacteria
Description: partial 16S ribosomal RNA
Rfam family: Bacterial small subunit ribosomal RNA
Source: RNAcentral
CCUACGGGCGGCAGCAGUGGGGGAUAUUGCACAAUGGGGGAAACCCUGAUGCAGCGACGCCGCGUGUGGGAAGACGGUCCUCUGGAUUGUAAACCACUGUCUUCAGGGACGAAGAUGACGGUACUUGCGGAGGAAGCCCCGCCUAACUACGUGCCAGCACCCUCGGAAAUACGUAGGGAGCGACGGUUGUCCGGAAUUACUGGGUGAAAGGGGAGGGUAGGCGGGACUGCAAUUUGAGUGUCAACUCUACGGGCUCAACCGGUAACCGCACUCUAAACUGCAGUUCUUGAGUGAAGUAGAGGCAGGCGGAAUUCCUGGUGUAGCGGUGAAAUGCGUAGAUAUUAAGAGGAACACCAGUUGCGAAGGCGACCUGCUAGACUUUUACUGACGCUGAGGCUCGAAAGUGUGGGGAGCAAACAGGAUUAGAUACCCCGGUAGUC